AAAGGAGAAGGAGGUAUGGGCUUUAGAGAUUUGAGAAUAUUUAAUCAAGCGCUUUUGGCGAAACAGGCUUGGCGUUUAUUGGUUUUUCCGGACUCGUUAUGUGCAAAGGUGAUGAAAGCAAAGUAUUAUCCUCAUGGGUAUUUGCUAGACACUGUAUUCCCUCAUGUGACAUCGACUACUUGGCAAGGUAUUAUGCAUGGUAUUGAGCUGCUGAAAAAGGGGGUCAUUUGGAGAGUUCGCGACGGUGCAAAUAUAAAUAUAUGGAGAGACAAUUGGCUUCCUAAAGAUUCGGGUCUUCAAAUUUCUGCAAAAAAGAACAGAACUAGACUCAAAUGUGUGUCUGAGUUAUUCAUUGGUGGCUCAACAAGAUGGGAUGAGAAUCUUAUUCGGCAUCUGUUCUUUCCACAUGAUGCUGACGAAGUUUUGAAGUUGCGUGUUCUGACUGUUGGUGAGCCGUGA
Molecule: ribosomal RNA, 459 nt
Filed under: Triticum aestivum (bread wheat)
Lineage: Eukaryota; Viridiplantae; Streptophyta; Magnoliopsida; Poales; Poaceae
Description: partial small subunit ribosomal RNA
Source: RNAcentral